UACGUAGGGUGGCAAGCGUUGUCCGGAAUUAUUGGGCGUAAAGCGCUCGUAGGCGGUUUGUCGCGUCUGCUGUGAAAACCUGAGGCUCAACCUCGGGCUUGCAGUGGGUACGGGCAGACUAGAGUGCGGUAGGGGUGACUGGAAUUCCUGGUGUAGCGGUGGAAUGCGCAGAUAUCAGGAGGAACACCGAUGGCGAAGGCAGGUCACUGGGCCGCAACUGACGCUGGAGGAAGCGGAAAGCAUGGGGAGCGAACAGG
This 257-nucleotide ribosomal RNA is filed under the name uncultured bacterium. RNAcentral describes it as "partial 16S ribosomal RNA". It matches the Rfam family "Bacterial small subunit ribosomal RNA", at positions 524 to 776 of the family's 1533-position model. The record is from RNAcentral.